AUACAAUGUACAUAUUUCAACAUCUUAUUUCCAAACCCUAACAAGUAGUUUCACUUAGUUCAAUGAACUCAUUACAAUCCAAUACAAUUUGAUUCAAUAAUAUCUUCAUCAUCAUCAUCAUAGUUAUUGUAAAUAAACAUUAAUAUUAUCACUACGGAAAUAUUAUCCAACGGAGGUUUCAGUGGAUGAACAUACGUGACCAUCGCCGCCGCAAAGCCACAAGCAAGAGACAAAAAGCACCUAUAGAUCGAGUGUAUGGAUGCUACGUCUUUCCAACACACCGAUUGACCAUGAACCCACACUUUUGAAACAAAAAUUACACACACAAACGGAAAAUGGAGAAGAAGCAGACCCGAAAAAGAAAAAGAAAACAGAAAAAAUAAGAGAGAAUAAAAUGGAGGAUGUAAUGACAACGAUGAAGAAGAGGAAAGGAGGAGUUUGUUUGAUAGUUUAAUUGUUUGUUUGAUUGAUUGAGAGCGCCGUCGUCGAAGGAUGUUGCGUGACCGGUUGUGGGAUUAGCAAUUCCAUGUGGUGCAACCGUCACUUGAAAGCAGGAGUGGGGGAAAGUUCCGAUCCUAUACGGAAUCAUGAGAUUUAGCGUAGAAAGGAAGAGGAAGCCUACGCGGGUAGCACAAAGGCCUGCGGCGGUGAGGAUGAUGGGUGACGGGAAAACGCGUCCAGCGGAAGCGCUGGUGGCCGAGAUGGGCAAGAUAGUGCAAGAGAUCGAAUCGAAGCGGAAACAGGGAACCGGGGGAAUGGACAAAGGAGGGAUGCGUGCUGGCGUAUGAGCGCGGACUGAAGGAAGGCCAGGGCCUGCACCCUCCGCCGCACGUCCUUCCUUACAAACCCCUCGGAACCCACCCAUACACUUCCCGAUUCAUGGAUGGCACUGUGUCCCAUUCUACUACUGUAACUUCAUCUGUAACCGAUUUCGUUUUCCUACUUCGGAUCCACUAGCCUCGACUUGUCUCGAAAGUCGCGAAUUCGGAGUCAGUUUUUGUUGUUUUUGUUGGUGUUGUUGGUUCCUGCAGGAGUGGUGGAUGUAAGUCGUGACAGAUCAUUGCUGCCGGUGCAGUACCGGGUCUACAAGAGGCCCCACAGUCGGCGAGAGGGUUGCAGGAAGGAGACCCUGGAUCCCGUGCCGGAGGAGAUUCCCAAGAGCAUGGACAGCGUGUCGUUGCGUCUGAAUGUGAAGAGCGCUAGCUGGAACGGCGAGCAGUGGUGUAGCCUUGGAUUCUCGCCUCGCAACGCCGAGGUCGCCAAUGGCUACGCGAUGCUCCGCGACGAGGUCACCAAGUCCCACAAUCGACUCCACCACACCAAGUGAGCCUUGCCUCUUCUCCUGCAACCUUGCAGUUCAAAACACACUCAUGCAAUCUACACACACACACACACACAUGCACUCACAGCUAUGUAUAUAUAUAUAUAUAUAUAUAUAACUAUCUGUUAUGUGAGUGGAUUAAUAUACUCACACAUGCAGAUGUAAAUAUACACAGAUGCACACAUAAAAUGUUAGAUAGAUAGUUCGAUAGAAACACGAACAUGCGCACAGAAACACACACACAAAUUUUAUAUCACAUCUACGAUUUGGUUUGACAGAACAAAGAAUGAAGCUUGGGUGCAGGCAUUGUUUUCACAAAAUCAAUCCCUCUUUAGAGUUUAAUUUGAACAGCUUACUGACUGGGUAGAAUAGAGAUGUUGUAUAACUAGAUGUAGGUCUUCAAUUGAGGAUUGGAAAUCGUGACAUAUUUGAUAAGGUGGGUUUGUGCUCCAUAGCAAUAGCAAUGUUUUAGGGUUUGGGAGAACAGAAUUAGUCGUGUGCCACUUUUUCAGUUGAAAUGUGAUGCUCUGCUUUGAAGGAUGGCAAUGUGACAUAUGGGGUUCAUUAAAAAGUUUUGCAGAAAAUGAAUGUAGAAAAUCAAUUUUAUUUAUUUACAGUUGGAUAGGUUAUGAACAAAUCACAUUAUUUUACUUUAUAUAUAUAUAUAUAUUUAACAAAUUUCUCUCUUACAUUUUAAUAUUUAAAUACAAUAAAAUAAUAUUUCGAAUGAGGAUAUUUUUUCUCAAUGGAUUGUAUUUGGAAAAGCCACGCGCUAAAAGCAUUAGUUACCUUCAACCAAUUGAAGCCACUGAAACCAACUUCCGUCCUUAUAUUCCACCACUUCCUCUUGCCAACAUUGCUCGGUAUCAAAUCGAAGCUCAAAUUGAAGACAAUAAACAUUUACUUAAUUUGUACCGAGAGGAAGCAAAACGAACCUUGUGUUCUUACAGGUUUAAUUACCUGCAACUAUAUGUCAUGUCUAUAUAUAGACUAGAAAAGCAUCUGCAAAGGCAUCAAUGGAAAAUUCUCCCAUGGACAAGAGGAAACAAUAUGGUGGACUCCCUGUAAAGUCUUGCUCAAAGCUUGCCCUAAAAACCUUAGACAAAAUAUUGGACGAUUCCAUGAAAUUUGAGAUUUUACAAGCAAAGUACAAUUUUGAUAUGUUGAAGCAACUUGCUGCUACCAAAUCUACCCAUGCAUACAAGUUUCCAAGGAAUUAUGCAGCAUUGAAGUGUGCACAACACAGGAACUUCAAAAUGCAAAGGACUUCAUUUGUGAACCGGGCAUGGCAUCACGAAGGGCACAAAAGUAUAGAUCAUGCUAUUAAAGUUCCCAUGGUAGAGGUUUUGAUUAGUCUUAUCCACCAUGAUGGGCAGCAUCCAAACAAAUCUGAGAUUUACAUAUUGGACCACAUUAGGUUUGUAGUUCAGAUAUGGAAAUUAUUGAAAAACUAUUUGAAAGAAAAGUAACAAGUUUGCUGUAUUGGUUGGAGUGCAAGAAAACUUGGUGACCCAAGUGAAACAAAAACUUGAGACAAAAAUGUUGUUUCCUAGUAAAGAUUUGGGGAAUUCAACUCCUCUUUACCCAUCACAGCCAUUGGUUUUCAAGCCCUUGAAACAAACUAAUGUAGAAUCUUUGCCCUCUUCAGCUACAUUGACAACUAGGAUUGACAAAGCUUGAAAAUAAAAAUAAAAAUAAAAAUAAAAAAACGUCUAGUUCUUUUGUUGUAAAAUAUUGUACAAUGACACAAUAUUAAAAUUUGAUUGAUUUUUUAAAGUUUCUUGAGACUGAAAAAAACGAUUUGAAGAUAAAACUCAAACAUCAUCAAAUAAAAUAUGAAGAAAAUCUUUUUAUCAGAAUUAUGAUGAUUAUUCUUAAUGUAAUAUAUCUCAGCACAUAAUGUUAUUAAUUGAUUAUUCGGAUUAGGGUUUAGUGCUUGUGAGAUCUUAGGUUUGUGAAGUAUUUUCAAC
Non-coding RNA from Physcomitrium patens, 3291 nucleotides. Lineage: Eukaryota; Viridiplantae; Streptophyta; Bryopsida; Funariales; Funariaceae. The record is from RefSeq and is a predicted model, not a curated record.